This 379-nucleotide long non-coding RNA is filed under the name Pan troglodytes (chimpanzee). RNAcentral's name for it is "long non-coding RNA NONPTRT014451". The record is from RNAcentral. Lineage: Eukaryota; Metazoa; Chordata; Mammalia; Primates; Hominidae.
UCCUGGGUUCAAGUGAUUCUCCUGCCUCAGCCUCCUGAGUAGCUGGGAUUACAGGUAUGCACCAACACACCUGGCUAAUUUUUUAUUUUUAGUAGAGACAAGGUUUCACCAUGUUGGCCAGGCUGGUCUCAAACUCCUGACCUCAGGUGAUCCAUCUGCUGCCACACAGCUUACAAGGGCAUUCCCAAGCAGGCAAGUGGCUCUUUAAACCCUUGUGUUGGCAUUGCAUUCCUGUGUCAUCACAUCCAGAUCCUGGGCAGGCAUGAAACACCUCCAGCUACUCCCAGCUGCACCAUCCCACAGUCUCUUGGGAGUCCAUGGGAGCUGUGCCCAUUCCCUGGCCAUCCCUCAGACCCACCUUCCACUUGGUUCCCUGUCA